UGUAUCACAGCAAGCAAUCAACAAUUCUGCUGCAGCAUUUCGUUUUUGACGUACAAACAACACAAACUCAUCUAUUCCUUUACCCAAUUUUGCAUUCCACAGUUGUCAUUCCUGGUUUUGAGUUUUGAGCUGCAUUCAUCCAUUCCACGAUUUCGUUUUCGACGUACAAACUACACAAACGCAUCUAUACAUGUACGUGUCAAUUUUGCAUUGCACAAUUGUCAUUCCUGGUUUUGAGAUCCAUUCCACAUUCCAUUUUUCUAAGGCGAGACCCCAAACGUAACCAUGCACCCAAAAAAAAUACGUGCAUGGUUACGGCGAAGCCAUAGUAUGCAGUUAAGUGGACACCUCAAAACAGUCAGAUAAGAUUGUGAGAGAACCAUACGUUGUAGAGACAUGCGGUUUUGACCAAUGGUGACUUUUUUUCCUGCAUCUCAAAAUAUUCCGCUGAAAGUGAAAAAUCGGCUCAGGGAAAUCGAAAGAGCUUCAAAAAACAUUAAGAUCAUUCUUUGGAUUCAUGCAGAUCGGAUCAACAAUGACGAAGUUAUGGAGAUUAUUACAUCUUUGACAAUCUUAUUGGUGAUCCAUCCGGUGCGACGAUUAUCUACAUAAUUAAAAGAUAAGUGCUUACGUCAUUAAUAUUAUUUUAUUGAACACAGUACUUUUCAAAAAUACUUAUAUCU
This is a long non-coding RNA of Folsomia candida, 683 nucleotides long. RefSeq lists it as uncharacterized. The record is from RefSeq and is a predicted model, not a curated record. The transcript is spliced from 3 exons. NCBI's taxonomy places the organism in Eukaryota, Metazoa, Arthropoda, Collembola, Entomobryomorpha, Isotomidae.